GAUGAACGCUGGCGGCGUGCCUAAUACAUGCAAGUCGAGCGAACAGACGAGGAGCUUGCUCCUCUGACGUUAGCGGCGGACGGGUGAGUAACACGUGGAUAACCUACCUAUAAGACUGGGAUAACUUCGGGAAACCGGAGCUAAUACCGGAUAAUAUAUUGAACCGCAUGGUUCAAUAGUGAAAGACGGUUUUGUUGUCACUUAUAGAUGGAUCCGCGCCGCAUUAGCUAGUUGGUAAGGUAACGGCUUACCAAGGCGACGAUGCGUAGCCGACCUGAGAGGGUGGUCGGCCACACUGGAACUGAGACACGGUCCAGACUCCUACGGGAGGCAGCAGUAGGGAAUCUUCCGCAAUGGGCGAAAGCUUGACGGAGCAACGCCGCGUGAGUGAUGAAGGUCUUCGGAUCGUAAAACUCUGUUAUUAGGGAAGAACAAAUGUGUAAGUAACUAUGCACGUCUUGACGGUACCUAAUCAGAAAGCCACGGCUAACUACGUG
RNAcentral lists this ribosomal RNA (497 nucleotides) under uncultured bacterium. Its description in RNAcentral is "partial 16S ribosomal RNA". It matches the Rfam family "Bacterial small subunit ribosomal RNA", at positions 28 to 507 of the family's 1533-position model. The record is from RNAcentral.